RNAcentral lists this ribosomal RNA (406 nucleotides) under uncultured bacterium. Its description in RNAcentral is "partial 16S ribosomal RNA". It matches the Rfam family "Bacterial small subunit ribosomal RNA", at positions 30 to 526 of the family's 1533-position model. The record is from RNAcentral.
AUUGAACGCUGGCGGCAUGCCUUACACAUGCAAGUCGAACGAUUGGCGAACGGGUGCGUAAUACAUCGGAACGUGCCCUGUAGCUGGCGAUAACUAUGCGAAAGCCUAGCUAAUGCCGCAUACUAUAGGUGCUGCCGAUGUCUUAUUAGCUCGUGGGGGGGGUAAAGGCCUACCAAGGCGACGAGCAGUAGCUGGUCUGAGAGGACGAUCAGCCACACUGGGACUGAGACACGGCCCAGACUCCGACGGGAGGCAGCAGUGGGGAAUUUUGGACAAUGGAGGCAACCCUGAUCCAGCCAUGCCGCGUGUGUGAAGAAGGCCUUCGGGUUGUAAAGCACUUUUGUCCGGGAAGCGGUACCGGAAGAAUAAGGACCGGCUAACUACGUGCCAGCAGCCGCGGUAAUUC